CCUACGGGAGGCAGCAGUGAGGAAUAUUGGUCAAUGGGCUUACGCCUGAACCAGCCAAGUCGCGUGAGGGAAGACUGCCCUAUGGGUUGUAAACUUCUUUUAUAAAGGAAUAAAACGAGGCACGUGUGCCUUUUUGCUUGUACUUUAUGAAUAAGGAACGGCUAACUCCGUGCCAGCAGCCGCGAUAAUACGGAGGAUCCGAGCGUUAUCCGGAUUUAUUGGGUUUAAAGGGAGCGUAGAUGGGUUGUUAAGUCAGUUGUGAAAGUUUGCGGCUCAACCGUAAAAUUGCAAUUGAUACUGGCAGUCUUGAGUACAGUUGAGGUAAGCGGAAUUCGUGGUGUAGCGGUGAAAUGCUUAGAUAUCACGAAGAACCCCGAUUGCGAAGGCAGCUUACUAAACUGUGACUGACAUUGAUGCUCGAAAGUGUGGGUAUCAAACAGGAUUAGAUACCCUUGUAGUC
Molecule: ribosomal RNA, 460 nt
Filed under: uncultured bacterium
Lineage: Bacteria
Description: partial 16S ribosomal RNA
Rfam family: Bacterial small subunit ribosomal RNA
Source: RNAcentral